Molecule: non-coding RNA, 32 nt
Filed under: Karenia brevis
Lineage: Eukaryota; Dinophyceae; Gymnodiniales; Kareniaceae
Source: RNAcentral
AGGGCCCAAAGGCAGCAGCGCCAGCGAGGCAG